UGUGGGAGCGAGCUUGCUCGCGAUGGGGGCGGCACAUUCAGCAUUGAUGUGACUGUGAUACCGCUAUCGCGAGCAAGCUCGCUCCCACA
RNAcentral lists this unclassified non-coding RNA (89 nucleotides) under Pseudomonas jessenii. The record is from RNAcentral. Lineage: Bacteria; Pseudomonadati; Pseudomonadota; Gammaproteobacteria; Pseudomonadales; Pseudomonadaceae.